This 1452-nucleotide ribosomal RNA is filed under the name metagenome. Its description in RNAcentral is "bacterial LSU rRNA". It matches the Rfam family "Bacterial large subunit ribosomal RNA", at positions 1446 to 2925 of the family's 2925-position model. The record is from RNAcentral.
UCGCAUUAUCAGAACUGUAGGGACGCAUGUGGAAAGCACGGGCCGGGAAUGGAAAGACCGGUACAAGCGGGGUAGGUGUACAAUAGGCAAAUCCGUUGUAUAAUCCGAAGACGUGAUGUGGAGCGAAAUAAAGUAGCAAAGCGUGUGAGCCAUGUGCCGAGAAAAGCUGCUAUUGUGUAAUGCGUGCCCGUACCGUAAACCGACACAGGUGGAUGAGGAGAGAAUCCUAAGGCCGACGGAAGAAGCAUUGUUAAGGAAUUCGGCAAAAUGACCCCGUAACUUCGGGAGAAGGGGUGCCUGCGAGAGCAGGCCGCAGAGAAUAGGCUCAAGCAACUGUUUAGCAAAAACACAGGUCUAUGCGAAACCGAAAGGUGAAGUAUAUGGGCUGACGCCUGCCCGGUGCUGGAAGGUUAAGAGGAGAGGUUAGCGUAAGCGAAGCUUUGAAUUUAAGCCCCAGUAAACGGCGGCCGUAACAAUAACGGUCCUAAGGUAGCGAAAUUCCUUGUCGGGUAAGUUCCGACCCGCACGAAAGGCGUAAUGAUUUGAGCACUGUCUCGACAAUGCAUCCGGUGAAAUUGAAGUACCAGUGAAGAUGCUGGUUACCCGCGCCAGGACGGAAAGACCCCAUGGAGCUUUACUCCAGUUUGAUACUGGGAUUCGUACUGCAUGUACAGGAUAGGUGGGAGACGAAGAAGGAUGGACGCCAGUCUGUCCGGAGUCGCUGUUGGGAUACCACCCCUGUAGUACUGGGUUUCUAACCAGUUGCCAUGAACUGGCAAUGGGACAAUGUCAGGCGGGGAGUUUGACUGGGGCGGUCGCCUCCGAAAGGGUAUCGGAGGCGCUCAAAGGUUCCCUCAGAAUGGUUGGAAACCAUUUGAAGAGUGCAAAGGCAGAAGGGAGCUUGACUGCGACACCGACGGGUGGAGCAGGUACGAAAGUAGGACUUAGUGAUCCGGUGGUAUAAAGUGGGAUUGCCAUCGCUCAACGGAUAAAAGCUACCCUGGGAUAACAGGCUUAUCACUCCCAAGAGUUCACAUCGACGGAGUGGUUUGGCACCUCGAUGUCGGCUCAUCGCAUCCUGGGGCUGUAGCAGGUCCCAAGGGUUGGGCUGUUCGCCCAUUAAAGCGGUACGCGAGCUGGGUUCAGAACGUCGUGAGACAGUUCGGUCCCUAUCCGGCGCGGGCGGAGGAUAUUUGAGAGGAGCUGUCCUUAGUACGAGAGGACCGGGAUGGACGGACCACUGGUGUAUCUGUUGUCGACCAACGGCAAGGCAGAGUAGCCAAGUCUGGAAGGGAUAAACGCUGAAGGCAUCUAAGCGUGAAGCCCCCCCCAAGAUGAGAUAUCCCUCCUUCGGGAGUAAGACCCCUUGAAGACUACAAGGUAGAUAGGGCAGAGGUGGAAGCAUGGCAACAUGUGGAGCUGACUGUUACUAAUAGGUCGAGGGCUUAAUAG